GCCGUGACGGAUGAGGCGGAGCCGCUGUGAGGAGAGAAGGAGGUGCUGCCGUGACGGGUACAAUGGAACUGAUGGUCCUUAUGUUCCUCAAGAGUGAGAGGUAUUAUGGACAAACUGGCACGGGAAGGUUUUUGCAUCAUGUUUUGGUUAAAACUUCCAUUCCCAUCGGAGGA
Molecule: long non-coding RNA, 173 nt
Organism: Zonotrichia leucophrys gambelii
Lineage: Eukaryota; Metazoa; Chordata; Aves; Passeriformes; Passerellidae
Exons: 3
Source: RefSeq, a predicted model, not a curated record